RNAcentral lists this ribosomal RNA (498 nucleotides) under uncultured bacterium. Its description in RNAcentral is "partial 16S ribosomal RNA". It matches the Rfam family "Bacterial small subunit ribosomal RNA", at positions 30 to 523 of the family's 1533-position model. The record is from RNAcentral.
AUUGAACGCUGGCGGCAUGCUUUACACAUGCAAGUCGAACGGUAACAGGCCGCAAGGUGCUGACGAGUGGCGAACGGGUGAGUAAUGCAUCGGAACGUGCCCAGUCGUGGGGGAUAACGCAGCGAAAGCUGUGCUAAUACCGCAUACGAUCUAUGGAUGAAAGCGGGGGACCGUAAGGCCUCGCGCGAUUGGAACGGCCGAUGUCAGAUUAGGUAGUUGGUGGGGUAAAGGCUCACCAAGCCAACGAUCUGUAGCUGGUCUGAGAGGACGACCAGCCACACUGGGACUGAGACACGGCCCAGACUCCUACGGGAGGCAGCAGUGGGGAAUUUUGGACAAUGGGCGCAAGCCUGAUCCAGCAAUGCCGCGUGCAGGAAGAAGGCCUUCGGGUUGUAAACUGCUUUUGUACGGAACGAAAAGGUUUGGGUUAAUACCCUGGGCCGAUGACGGUACCGUAAGAAUAAGCACCGGCUAACUACGUGCCAGCAGCCGCCGUAA